CCGUGCUAAGCGGGGAGGUAGCGGUGCCCUGUACCCGCAAUCCGCUCUAGCGGGGCCGAAUCCCUUCUCGAGGUUCGUUUACUUUAAGGCCUGCCUUAAGUAAGUGGUGUUGACGUUUGGGUCCUGCGCAAUGGGAAUUCAUGAACCAUGUCAGGUCCGGAAGGAAGCAGCAUUAAGUGAAACCUCUCAUGUGCCGCAGGGUUGCCUGGGCCGAGCUAACUGCUUAAGUAACGCUUAGGGUAGCGAAUCGACAGAAGGUGCACGG
This 265-nucleotide signal recognition particle RNA is filed under the name Halalkalibacterium halodurans. RNAcentral describes it as "signal recognition particle sRNA large type". It matches the Rfam family "Bacterial large signal recognition particle RNA". Rfam says of the family: The signal recognition particle (SRP) is a universally conserved ribonucleoprotein involved in the co-translational targeting of proteins to membranes. Archaeal SRP consists of a 7S RNA and homologues of the eukaryotic SRP19 and SRP54 proteins. In most bacteria, the SRP consists of a 4.5S RNA and the Ffh protein (a homologue of the eukaryotic SRP54 protein). The record is from RNAcentral. RNAcentral also lists the same sequence under 1 other name. Lineage: Bacteria; Bacillati; Bacillota; Bacilli; Caryophanales; Bacillaceae.